GCAUUGGUGAUUCAGUGGUAGAAUUCUCACCUACAAUGUAGGAGACCCGGAUUCGAUUCCUGGCCAAUGCA
This 71-nucleotide transfer RNA is filed under the name Loxodonta africana (African savanna elephant). It matches the Rfam family "tRNA". Rfam says of the family: Transfer RNA (tRNA) molecules are approximately 80 nucleotides in length. Their secondary structure includes four short double-helical elements and three loops (D, anti-codon, and T loops). Lineage: Eukaryota; Metazoa; Chordata; Mammalia; Proboscidea; Elephantidae. The record is from Rfam by way of RNAcentral.